Rhopalosiphum padi (bird cherry-oat aphid) is the source of this 1421-nucleotide long non-coding RNA. RefSeq lists it as uncharacterized. The record is from RefSeq and is a predicted model, not a curated record. Lineage: Eukaryota; Metazoa; Arthropoda; Insecta; Hemiptera; Aphididae. The transcript is spliced from 5 exons.
UAACAGCACAAACAGAUAAUAAGUUUAUUAUACGAUUUAAGGUAGUCAGAAGAGAAAUGAAUCAUGGUUUAUUGACUUGACGAAUGUUCCGCUAGCAAUAGGUAUUUAAAAAGAUAGUGCAGGGCUCCCAAACACAUGAAAAAUCUACGAAAUGCACCAAAAUCAUAUUUGACCGAUAGUUAGCGCAAAACAACAGCAAUACAAAUCAACUUCAACAAAUCCGACACCUGUUUGAAUUGACGAGGAGAAUAACUGAAUAAUAAUAUUCAAUCAGAACGCAGCGAGUCAGCCACGAAAAAUGUCUGGAGCUUACGAAAGCCCGGACGCAACUAUUGAAAAACGAGAUACGCCAGCGGUCGUUUGAUGGCAGUACAGCAGAUUACACAAGUCAUGCUGUGACAUGAAGUUACAUUUCUAACACGUACAAAAGUAUCAAUAUCCUAUGUUGAAAAUGGACUAGAAGAUACUGAUAAUAAUAAUGGAUUUAUGCAAACUAUGUUAAUUAUUACAAUAUUUCUGCAAAAGUUGUAAGGAGAGUGUUGAAACCGGAACUCCAAGCUAAUGCAAGCAAACGUGAUGAAACACAUGUAAAAUUUACCCCGUGGGUUAAGGGAUAGCCAUCCAAUGUCUAGGUGGGUUUCCGGGAAUAGUUUUUACUGCGAGAUUUGGUUGCUGUUGGAAGUAAGACAAUUGUAGAAGUGUUGAUAAUAAUUCGUAGUUUCUUUGUGUACUAAUUUUAAUUUUAGAUCAGAGUGAGUAGUGUGGUUAGAGACACAAGGGGGAGCAUUGAAAAGAUUUUUAGUUCUAUGUAUUGAAAAGUUUGUAUUUUAUUUAUAUUUGAAUUGUUUUGCAUUACCCCAUACUAAAUAUCAUAUGUCCAGACUGUUUGAUCAAAGAAUUAUAUAUGAGCAAUUUCAUACUAAAACCUACUAGUAUAUUUAUUUUAGCUAGGAAAUGUUAUAAAAAGGCGUAGUCAAAGGUUAAGGGUUAGUCGUUUAGUUUUUUUAUGCUUAGCCCAGGUUAGUAACACAAAUGUUUCAAGUGCAUAUAAGUGUAUACUUUAAAAUAUAAUGUCCAAAUAAUUGAACAUCGUUAUUAAAUUAUUAAAUUAAAUUAGUCUAAAUGUAAAAUUCUAUCAACAUAAUAUAUUAUCUAUAGUUUUUCCUAAUUUUCUCAUAGGUUUUGGAUGGUCUUUUUUUGAUAAAAAUACAAUUGUCUUCUGGUAAUUACAUUUGAACCAAAAAGAGUGCAAAGAUUUUGCAGAUUUUCAAUGAUGCUAUUAAAAUCUAAAAUAAUGCACAUGUAGUAGACUUCUGCCAUAAAAUAUUUCUGUAAAUGAAGUGUCAAAUCAUGAAUCAUUAAUACAAUUUAAAAACUAUAUAAAUAACUAUGUGAUAAAUAAAACUAUAAUAUAGCAGUUU